UUUUAUGCUAUUUAGUUCUCAAGGAGACACAAGCAGCCUCCAGAAAACAGUAUCUGAUUAAUGUUUAUUGAAGAACUCCUGUGUGUCCGAGACACUUAUCCCUGGAGAUACAGUAAAAUCCAGGCUGAGUCCCUGCCGUGGAGAAGCUUUUAUUCUGACAGAACCCGGUUUUACAUGCAGGAGCAAAGAAGGCGAUGAAAGUGAGGUCAACAUCAGGACCUCCUGCUACCAUCACCACCACCACUGACCCAUUUGCUUCACUCAGCCGAGUAGUGGAUCCAGGGCACAGCAAGAGGACAAAGGGGCUGUGAGGAGCACAGUGGUGGGGAGGAGGAGGAAGAGGAUUUUCUGAGUAAGGUGGGUGAUUCACACAGGUACUUGUUUCCCCUUCCAUAGCUACCCUCCAUCUCAGUCAUAGGGACCUUCCUAGUCCUUUGGAGCAUAUCCUUCUUCUUUCCCAACCAUCUGUCUUCUUGGCUUCCUCCUUCAGAAACCACCAUGAUAGCAUAUGAGCAAGGAGAAAACAUCAUGGCUUGAGGAAGCCUAUUCACUUUCAUGUGUCUCAUGGGCGAUCCCCUCCCCCGAGGCAUGGCCUGGGGGAACCUUUAAGAAGUCAGUUCAGGGGAGACAAGAUAGAUGAUAAAAUAAGUAGAUUAUGUUACAUAUUCACUCUCUCUCUCUCCAUAUAUAUAUAUAUAUAAUACAUAUUUUAUAUAUGUAAUGAUUUUACGCACUCAUUAUAUUUUUCUAGAGGAAACAGAAGCCCCAGUGGGUUGAGUAUCUAUUGCUUCACCUCCAAAAAAUGGCAUAAAUCUUUGGUAAAAUGUUACUAAAUGUGUCACACACUUAUUGAGAGAAAGGGAAUGUGAGAACCUUGCUCAAACAACAAAAAACAAACAUCGGAUGCAUAAGAGAAUGUUGGUUCUUAUGCCCAGCCCUGUGAAUUAUAAGGAUAAGAAACAAUCUAGUAGGUUUGAGAGAUGAAAAAAUAACCUGGUCAAGUCAGCCAUCCGCCCUUGUGGUUAUAAAGCAGAGUUUUUCAAGCUCUGCCUAUGGUUUGCGAAAGGAACUAGGUGGUGUGGCACAGGGGAAGGGAAGAAGAUCAGGAAAGGACAGCUGAACUGUGCUGGUGACUUCCCUGCUGCUCGUCCUCACUGUGUGGCUGUAGACCAAGCCGGUGCUCUAAAGAUGAAAUUUUCGUUAUUCACAGAACAGAUUCUUUGCAAUAUUUGGAUGUCUGGAAGGAGCACAUUGUCAAUGAUCAGGUUUUUCUGGAUGGAACGUAGAUUCUGAACAGAUUUUUAAUUUAAUUUUUAUUUCUAAAUUUAAUUUAGUACUGCGAUGUCUACCCCUAAUAUCCUUGUCCCAGCUCUCCUGUGACCAGGGCUGCCUGUGCACCACAGACCCCUUGGGCAACGUGCCGCUAAGCUAAUCACUGGGUGGCACCCAAGAGCCAGAAAAAAGAUGGAUUGAAUUGCAGACACUCUCUAAUACACAUAUUUUAACAAUUUCCUCUGUCCUCAGUGAAAUUAUGCUAAUAUUUUAGUUGAGUUUCCUCAAGUCUGGAACUCAAAUUAAGUCUGUCUGUUUCAUUUUUAUGAUAGUGCUUGAAAUCACUUGCAGACAAGGGGUUGUUGGGCCAUGAGAUUUAUAGUGGCAGUGCCACAAAGGUCAAACACAUCCUGAGGAAGAGGAAAGCAAUCUGUAGAACCAGUGUUUUCACUGCAAUAAAGUUUAUGGCAGCAUUAAGGGAGUAGUUACAAAUCAGUCAGGUGGUGUUGAUUUCAUUGAGAAUAAGUAUAUUUACACUUGUAAGCUUUCUCUUAAUAAUAUUCUGAAUGUUUUACACAAUGGGGUUAGUGAAGGUUGUAUCUGGGCAUAUUUCACGAGUGACAAAAUUUGUUUUUCUUUUUUCCACCCAUCCUUCUACUGGUUACUUUCACAAAAUAGGUUUAUAAUGGCUCUGUAGGGGCUGAGUAAAGGUUCAGCAAUUUUCUGACAUUUCCAACAAGGUCAAAGAUGCUGCAGAAACUAAAACUAAAAUGAUCGUGUAUACGUAUGUGAUUAAAGAUGAGAGGAGUCUAAAGAAAAAAAUGAUGUCACUAAUACUAAAAAGUGCUUCUUUCUAGGUAAUUAGUUAUUCAUAUUGCAGCUAAUUUUGUAUUAUUAGAAUUUCUGAUUGAAUGUUCAAUUCCUAUAUUAAAGGAGUAAGACAUAAACACCCCAACCUAUGUAAGACCUACAAUAAAUAAUGUUUACGCUUAACCCAAUCUACUUCAUAGCACUAAACACUAUUACUUUUUGCAAAACUAAUUGUAAAAUAGUUUUGUGAUUAUGCUGUUGUUUGAAUUAAUUGGGUAAUUAUUUUACCUAUUGCUUCGUUAUUUAUUGUCUGUCUUGUCCACUGGACUGUAGGCUCCACAAGGACAGAGACCUUGUCUUAUUCCUGAUCCUUUUCCAAGGUCCUACUAUAUAAUUACACAAUGGAGUUAGUGAAGGUUGGAUCUGAACAUAUUUUACAAGUGACAAAAUUUGUUUUUCCUUUUUUCCACCUUAAAAAUGUUUAUUGAAUGAACGAAUGAAUGUUUCUACCAUUCUCAGGAUUCUUCUACAUAGUGAAAACACUUUCUCACUAAGUCAGGUCUACACAAAGUUAAUGUUUCCUAACACUAUUAGAUAGUUUCUAGAACCUUCUAUUUCUGUCUCAUGUUUUUGUCCCUGAGGAACUGGUGUGGCUCUAUCUAACAAAUAUGGAGGGAAAGGAAGAGUCAGAACUUAUCCACGUCCUAUAAAUGAGAAAACUGGGACUUUGGCCUAUAAAUCUGCCAGGUAACUGUAUCUAUUUCACCUGGAGGAGAUCGUGCUACCUAUUUACCUGGAUGAGAUUUGCAUAUAUGUUAAUGAAGAGACUAUAUUGGUUGUUCAUCAGUGUAACAUCUCAUUGGAUAUUCAACAGCUGACAACCAUGAUGACUUAGAAACCCAUGGGAAUGAACUGUAUCGUAUGUUACCAAACCAUUGCAGAAACAGUAAAUAAUCAUACAUAUCAAUUUUUUUCUUUAAUUGUAAAGAUGGUUGAAUAUAGAUAUUAACCUGUUCAUAUUUAGUUAUGGGUGUACUUGAGGGGGGAAAUCCAAAUGGGUUAAACAAGGUUAUACUAUUAAUAUUACAAAUACAAUUAAACAUUUAAAGCUUUUAAAGACAUAAAGGAAAAUAGUUCUGGAUAAUAGCAAUAUAACUUUUAUUGUUGGUAAAGAGGAUAUUAAUUAUAUUUUUAAGGGAAGGUGCAUGAACAUUUAUUGCAGAUAACUUACUUUAGAAGAAAAUUUUUACAACAGAUCCCAAUAGGAGGAUUAUUCAAUAGAACUAACACUAAUGCAGAUUCUAGAACACAGAUGCCCAUAGAAUUAUUUCAAAAAGAAUUGUGUUAACACAAACUUCAAUUAACUGAUUUGUAUCACUUUUUAUUCUAGAAAAAAAAUUUCUUAGAGAGGUGCCAUGAUGUAAAACAAGUGUAAGUCAAGUUUCAUCGCCACUUGCUGUGUAGGCCAGCCCUGUGGUUUUAGUCCCAUAGAACAUGGUGUGGAAGGAGCAGGGUGGUUUCUGAGGCAUACGUGUGCAUAUGUCUGGGACUGCAAAGGCGCAUGAAACCCAUCUUGUCACCUAGUGACCCAACGUCCUUCUUGGUCAACCCUAUGUUACCAUAAUAUGAAGUGGAAUAGAAGGGGUAGGUGAAUUUCGGAGUUGGGGCUUCCCAUCUGCUAUCAGCUAAAUUACAACAUCCCUGCCAUCCCUGCCUGCUGCCACAUAUUUAUCUGUUGAAGCCCUAACUCCCAGUACCACAGAAUACGAUUAUAUUUGGAGAUAGGGUUUUAAAGGAGAUAAUUAAGUUAAAAUGAGGUCAUUAGGGUGGGCUCUAACCCAAGAAGACUGGUGUUCUUAUAAUAAGACAGGAUUAGGACACUGGCAGGUACAAAAUGAAGACACAGAGAGAAGACAGUCAUCUGCAAGCCAAGGAGAGAUGCCUCAGAAGAAAGCAACCCUGCCAACACCUCAGUCUUUCACUUCUAGCCUCCAGAACUGUGAGAAGUUGAUUUCUGGUUAAGGCACCCAGUCUGUGGUACUUUGUUAUGACAGUCCUGGCUGCCUGAUAUACCGUCUAAUUUAUUUCAAAGGAUGGCAUGGCAUGGGAGUGGCUGGAUACAGAAUGUGCAUCAGAGGCCUCAAAUGCCCCUUUGCCUGUGUGAUGAAAAUCCCCCAAUAGGUGUGCAUUACUCACUACUUUACCCUUAGACAUAGCCAGCAGGAGGCCCUGGUAAGUACAAAAACUUGUGGGGAGGAGCCACGCCCUCCCAUUUUCACCUGCAACCCUGUGGUCUGCUGAAGGAAACUAAAGGCCUGGGACAUGAGAUUAAGGGUAUGGUGAUGUGGACAGGAAGCAGUGUAUGGGGUUUGUCCAGGUUAGGAAAGUGCUAGAAUGUGGAAACUCCAGAAGGAAAGCAGAUCCGUGGAGGGUUGUCAGGAAGGAGUUGAGAGCCGGAAGGAAGAGCGGCCAGGAAGGACACACUGCAGGGCUCCAGGCAGGGGCUUUCUGGCUCCACACCUUCUGCUGUAGCUUGAAAGCCAAGCUCACCUUGAAACCUUAAGGCACCAAGCCAAAUGAUUAAAAGAUACAACAAAUUUGAAUCUGGUAAGAGUGGCUGACCCCUAAUUCUUAAAAACACUCAUGCAUGUGGCGUGUUUUGUGUGUGCCAGUUUUGUGUAAAGGGUGUGUACUAAUAGGAAGUCAUCAACCAAGUUCAAGAGAAAGGAAACCAAGAUGUUUGGAGUAACUUUUACUGCAUUCAGUGCUAAGAAAUGAUCUCUACAGGCACGUCUGACACUACCUUGCUGUGUGUCUUUGGAUAAACUGCUUAACAUCUCACCACCUUCUGUUUCUAAGGUUCUGCAUCUAAAAGCUAGAAUGAUGGAAAAGGAGAAUGUUGGCUGAUCUACUUUCAGAACUAGCUGAGCAGGCACUUGAGUGAUAGUCAGUAUUGAAAUGAACUGCUCCAGCUUGCCUCUAGAAUGUGAGGCCCCUGAGAGCAAGACCACUUGUGCCUUCACUUCUGCAGGAGACAGCAGCAGGUGGCCACACUGGUUCCAAAGAUACAGUCUCUGAGCAUGCAUAAUUCUGAAAUCUGAACUUUGGGUUCUAUGUCAUCAUGAAACAUUUCUGGGUUUUCUUGUUCUGGUACAAGUUAAAAAUGAUUCUUGGUGAAGGUGCAGGUAAAAAAGUUUGCAAGAACUCUAUUCUAUGUGCCGUUUCAACAAGCACUGGCCAUUCUUGGUGCUGCUCCCUGUGUAGAACAUCAAGGAUAUGAAGAGGAAUAAGAAUGUGGCUUACAUGCUAGUGGGGGAAAUGGCUAUCAGUCACAGCUAAAUACAUUUCAAUAUUGUACCUCCUACACUGUAUGAGCAAUGUUAAGUGAAACGAGAAAAAGGAUAGCUUCGCUGGGCUGUUGGACAUCAGGUGGAAGGGAGGUUGAAAAAGGCCUUUUAGUGACUGUCUUUGGUCAGUGUUUAAAAAUGGGUGGAUAGAACUUUGCUAAGAGGAUGAGUGGAGAGGACAUUCAGACAGAGAGCAGCGUAAGCCAAAGUGGGGUAGAAAGCUGAGGGGGCUGAAAAUAUGCCAGAUUCUGAGAAAACUGCAAAUAUUCAGGGUUGCUUAGAGUACGGAUUUGGGGAGGACAACAGUUACGAGCCAAUGGACGGGAAAAGGCUCAUCAAUAUGACCAGUGGAGUGAAUAAAAGUAUACCCUACAAAAUAUUAGAAAAUCAGGACAUUUCAAGAUUCAGUAGCCAUCUUUCUGCCUUUUUUUCUUUUUUUAUUUUUUUGAGAGUCUCGUUCUGUUGCCCAGGCUGGAGUGCAGUGGCAUGAUCUCGGCUCACUGCAACCUCCACCUCCCGGGUUCAAGCUAUUCUCCUGCCUUAGCCUCCCAAGUAGCUGGGACUACAGGCACACACCACCAUGCCCAGCUAAUUUUUGUAUUUUUAGUAGAGAUGAGGUUUUGUCAUGUUGGCCAGGAUGGUCUUGAACUCCUGACGUCGUGAUCUGCCCUCCUCGGCCUCCCAAAGUGCUGAGAUUACAGGCCUGAGCCACUGCGCCCAGCCUCUUUCUGCCUUUUCUUAAUGUAAAGCAGGGGAGUUGGCAACAUCAGACCCCCUCCUUCCAGCAGAGCAACGCUAGGUGGAGCUGAGUAGCAGCACCCCUUAGACAGUGUGGACCUUCCCAGUUCUCCACAGCCAUCACCCAAACAACAAGCAUAUGUUCAUUUCCCUGGACCAGUUCACCCAUGGGUGUUACCUGGCAAGCCCACCAGCCUGCAAAUUUGCCACUUGUGGUGCAGAGUGGGGAUAGAUGGAGGCAGAUGGGGCAAAGAGUUACAUUGGAGAGCUAAGUAAGAGUCAGAUUUGAACUUUAUUCUGUGAUCUGUAUAGCCCCAUCAAAGGUCUGUUCAAGUGUGAUAGUGACAUGAACAAAAAUCAUUCCCAACCAUUGAAAGGCAACCUCUCUCUUUAAGCUGGCCAAUAGGGUAUUUCCUUUACCUCUUCAAGACUAAGCAAGCACUUGUGGAACAUACACUGUGUCAAUAAUAUACUGGAUGAUGUGCAUGCUUUGGGGUUGUUUUGGAGUAUUUGCACGAGUAACAGGCUGGAAGGUACCAUACAUUCAAAAAAAAAAGAAAACAAUAAUUUUCCACAUAAUGCAAUCCUUUUUGUAAUUUAAUUAUCAUAAGAAAAGUUUUAUCUUGACAAAUAUCUUUGAACAAAUAUUCUAUUUUCAAAAAUGAAAUAAAAUAUAAAAACAUGUACUAAAAUAAUUUAAAAUUUAAUAGUGUGUCAAGGUCCUUUUUUAUGCUACAAAGAACACUAUUUUGUGCUCAGAACAUUAGGAUUACUUUCUCAACUUAUAGGGUACUCUUGGCCAGAUUUGACCUCAAAUACACAUGGGUUACAAUGGUGAUGUGUAGAGGGAAGUAGAGGUAAAGGCCAUAGUUGGAAAACUUGCAGAAGUCAGAAUAGGAAUCAAGAGGACAGGAUUCACUGUUGAUGGCUAUUUGUGUAUGAUUUCUGAACUCUAAACUCUGCUCAGUCCUGGAAAAUUCACCUACAGUUGGCUUCUUCACCUUCAAAAUGAAGAUAAUGUACGUAAAAAUAGAUCCCCCAAAUCUCUGCCUCAAGUUGCAGUUCGGAUCCAGGACUCUCAGGAUUAUCAAGUGAAAGAACUCAUUGAUACGUAUGUUUCAGAGAAAAAAAAAAAAUCAAAGGAAGAAAAAACAGUAACAGGAAAGGAAAAGCUUGUUGGGGGUGAGCAGACACUAAAGGCAGUAACCCCAGUUUUUCCUCAGGAAAUUGCCUCACAAAGGAAAAACUAAGAUGAUGAAAAAAUCAAAUGAAAGGUGGGAAAGCUGAAAACCAGAGUAUACCCAAGCUUCCCUAAUUAAGGUCUCCCUAUCUGCCCAGCAAAUCUGCAGUUCCCAAAUAGUGUGUAGCUACCAGGCACCCCAACAAGGAGUUUGAAUGAUAAGACAUUUUAGCAACUAUGGAAUGUUAUUGUCAGGCACAUAUCCA
This 7613-nucleotide long non-coding RNA is filed under the name Homo sapiens (human). Its description in RNAcentral is "HSALNT0138539". The record is from RNAcentral. Lineage: Eukaryota; Metazoa; Chordata; Mammalia; Primates; Hominidae.